RNAcentral lists this ribosomal RNA (482 nucleotides) under uncultured bacterium. RNAcentral's name for it is "partial 16S ribosomal RNA". It matches the Rfam family "Bacterial small subunit ribosomal RNA", at positions 28 to 523 of the family's 1533-position model. The record is from RNAcentral.
AGUGAACGUUGGCGGCGUGGAUUAGGCAUGCAAGUCGAGCGAGAACCGUAGCAAUACGGGGACAGCGGCGAAAGGGACAGUAAUGUGUAGGUACCUACCCCGAGGUCUGGGAUAGCUGCGGGAAAAUGCAGGUAAUACCGGAUAAUGUCUUCGGACCCAAGGUGUGAUUCCACCUUGGGAGGGGCCUGCAUCCUAUUAGCUAGUUGGCGGGGUAAUGGCCCACCAAGGCGACGAUGGGUAGCGGGUGUGAGGGCACGACCCGCGUCAUUGGGACUGAGACACUGCCCAGACACCUACGGGUGGCUGCAGUCGAGGAUCUUCGGCAAUGGGCGAAAGCCUGACCGAGCGACGCCGCGUGCGGGAUGAAGGCCUUCGGGUUGUAAACCGCUGUCGUAGAGGAGGAAAUGCAGGUGGGUUCUCCCAUCUGUUUGACCUAUUCUAGGAGGAAGUACGGGCUAAGUUCGUGCCAGCCGCCGCCGUAA